Molecule: long non-coding RNA, 255 nt
Organism: Lytechinus variegatus (green sea urchin)
Lineage: Eukaryota; Metazoa; Echinodermata; Echinoidea; Temnopleuroida; Toxopneustidae
Exons: 3
Source: RefSeq, a predicted model, not a curated record
CUUUUUUCAAUUUAUCUUCUCACAUCUAUUUCACAGUCCAUCUUGGUACGGAACGACUCAUCUUCAACUUUCCAAAAAAAACGAGUAUCAAAAGACAUGGCAACUCAGCAUCGUGAAACAUACCCCAGUGACAGAGACAAUGACGCCGAAAAUAAGAUAUUAUUGAAGGGACCGGGUUUCCAUUUUGAAAUCGACCCAUCCAGCACGACCAAGAUUUCAUUUUUUGUUCAUAAAAAUGAAAUAGAAUUCACCCUU